AUGGCGCCCUCCAAGCCCGCCCUCUUCCUCGCUCUGAACCUGGUCCUCGUGGCAGCUGCGCAUGGCUGCGGGUCGUACUGCGGCAACACACCGGCCGUCCCAGUGCCAACCCCGCCGAUCGCCGUGCCCCCACCGGCCGUCCCAGUCCCAACCCCGCCGACGACCGGAGGAGGCAGCGGCACCUGCUCGAUCAACACGCUGAAGCUGAAGGCGUGCGCCAACGUACUGAACCUGCUAAAGCUCAACCUAGGUGUGCCGGCGAGCAAGGACUGCUGCCCGCUGCUGGGCGGGCUCGCCGACCUCGACGCCGCCGUCUGCCUCUGCACCGCCAUCAAGGCCAACGUCCUCGGCAUCAAGCUCAAUGUCCCCAUCGACCUCGUCCUCCUCCUCAAUGUCCCCAGCCGACUUCACCUGCCCCAGCUGAUUCACCCAUCAUCCAUUGAUCGAUGCAUCACAAACCAUGCAUCGUCAUCAUCACACUUAUCAUACGCAUGCACCUACGUAUUUUGUUUUCUGUUCCAGUUCGUCGUCAUCGCACUCGUCGCUCAUGGAUGCAUGCGUUUAGGUGUUCAUUUCUUCCAGGGACUGCUUAUAAAAUAG
RNAcentral lists this ribosomal RNA (600 nucleotides) under Triticum aestivum (bread wheat). RNAcentral describes it as "partial small subunit ribosomal RNA". The record is from RNAcentral. Lineage: Eukaryota; Viridiplantae; Streptophyta; Magnoliopsida; Poales; Poaceae.